AGAGUAUGAUCCUGGCUCAGGAUGAACGCUGGCGGCGUGCUUAACACAUGCAAGUCGAACGAACCUUCGGGUUAGUGGCGGACGGGUGAGUAACGCGUGAGAAUCUGCCCUCAGGAGGGGGAUAACGGCUGGAAACGGCCGCUAAUACCCCAUAUGCCGAGAGGUGAAAUGAAUUUCGCCUGAGGAUGAGCUCGCGUCUGAUUAGCUUGUUGGUGGGGUAAUGGCCUACCAAGGCGACGACCAGUAGCUGGUCUGAGAGGAUGAUCAGCCACACUGGGACUGAGACACGGCCCAGACUCCUACGGGAGGCAGCAGUGGGGAAUUUUCCGCAAUGGGCGAAAGCCUGACGGAGCAACGCCGCGUGAGGGAUGAAGGCCUCUGGGCUGUAAACCUCUUUUAUCAAGGAAGAAGAUCUGACGGUACUUGAUGAAUAAGCCACGGCUAAUUCCGUGCCAGCAGCCGCGGUAAUACGGGAGUGGCAAGCGUUAUCCGGAAUUAUUGGGCGUAAAGCGUCCGCAGGCGGCCUGACAAGUCUGCUGUUAAAGCGUGGAGCUUAACUCCAUUUCAGCAGUGGAAACUGUCAGGCUUGAGUGUGGUAGG
RNAcentral lists this ribosomal RNA (600 nucleotides) under uncultured marine bacterium. Its description in RNAcentral is "bacterial SSU rRNA". It matches the Rfam family "Bacterial small subunit ribosomal RNA", at positions 8 to 655 of the family's 1533-position model. The record is from RNAcentral.